ACUUCAGUGGUGUUAAGGGAUCGUACUAGAUUUUGAUGGUCGGUUUCCACAGAAACAGCUUUCAAUCUCAUACGCUGGAUGUAUUUCAGCGCUUCCAAGAGGGCUAGGGUUUCCAAUUGAGCGGUAAAAACCGCUCGAACAGAUCUGGUGAAGCCAUCCACGAGCGCGCCUGUGUGAUCUCGGACAACACACGCGAUAGCUCCUUCUGUCGAGUCCUCACUCAGCGACCCGUCGACGUUGAUUUUAAGCGUGCCCACCGCUGGAGGAACCCAGAUCUGAGAUCUACAAUGUUGUAGGCAUUCGGCUUGCUUCCCCGGAAUGUAAAGUUGUUGCGGCCCUUCCAAAUUUGCCAAAGAAUGUUAGAAAUCGCUUCCAAGGGAGUUCAGUCCAGGGACAAAGGAGAAAAAUGUGUUCAGCUGUUUCAACUUCUGUUUGGCAAAGGGUGCAAACUGGAUCAGGAUGAAAAUUUCUGAGACUGCAACUUCUGUUGUUCUGCCACUUCAACACUCAUUGGACAUUUUCCAGUGUGCUGCUGUUGUUCCUCUUGGUGCCCUGGAGUGGUAAAGUUAGUUUGUGCCCUUUCAAAUGUGGGUUCUAUUGCUGUCUGCUCCCCUGUAAAAAGAACUAUUUGGGUGUUUUGGGCUGGUAUAUCAGUAGCUACUUGUUCUUCCUCGUUGUCUUCCACACUAUCACCAUAAAAUAUUUGCCAAAAUGGACUAGUCUCUUUGGCCUCUGCUUUAAGCCAAUGCCCAAAUCGAUUUGAAAACUUUUCUUCAUAUUUGACCUCAUCAAAGGGAACUUCAUCACAAUUUUUCGCGAAAUGCCCAAUUUUACCACAAGAGUAGCAAAAGCGAGGUAGCCUUUCAUACUUAAAAUCCAGCCAUACCUUUCCAUCUCCUAGGUUAUAUAAGGUUCCUGGACUUAAUGGAGUAUCCAGGUCUAGAACAACCCUUGCCCUUCCCACUUUCUGACAAGCCACUCCCUUCUUUUUUUCCACUUUAACUUCCUAAACACCACCUAAGAUUUGAGUUAUGUGGGAAACUACCUCCUCAGAACACCAUUCAAUAGGAAGGCCGUGAACUUGAACCCAAAAAGCACAGUUGUUGAAUUUAUAACAUUGGGCAGGUUUGUUGGGUUCCCAUGGUUUAAGUAUUAAUAAAUUACUCGCAAAAGACCAUGGACUGUUCGCUAACACUCUUUCUUUAUCCAUCUCAGAAUCAAAGGUGAAAGAUAAUAUACCCAAUUCCCGUUGUGCAAAGGUAACUGAAUCUACCUUCCACGCUUUCUUCAUUGUGUUGAGAAAUGCUUGAUAGUUGAUGUUUCCUCCCGAAUGCAGCUUCCUAAACACUGUACGAUUACAUUCGUCCAGAAUCUCCUCAGAAAUCACUUUUUCUCGUGGUGGGGCAUCAACUUCCGUCCUUAAGUUACCCAGUUUUCGGCAAAGAAUUGCUAGACGAUUAUCCGUCCCUCCAGAUUCUUCCAUUUACUCUGCCUUAUAAAUAGAGGACAAAACGAAGCAAGAUUUUGGGGGAGAGACCAGAAACACUAGUUUCGACUACAUUCUUCCAAACUCCAUUCAUCUAGCCGAGCGAAAGAAAACCAGACGAUUGCAAAUACCCAGAUGAUUAAAGGCAAGAUGAGGAUGCUAACAAGACCCAAAGCAAAGAUUACGGAUUACACGAACCGAUUUUGUGGAGGGCAGUCAAUUUCAGCCAUCCAUUAAGGAUGCGGGCGAAAUAGGCUUUGUGGGGGAAGUUUUCUGGUUUUAUGUGGGAAAGUAAAAAAGGUUAUGUCUUCCAUGGGUUCAA
Long non-coding RNA from Eucalyptus grandis, 1808 nucleotides. RefSeq lists it as uncharacterized. The transcript has 4 exons. NCBI's taxonomy places the organism in Eukaryota, Viridiplantae, Streptophyta, Magnoliopsida, Myrtales, Myrtaceae. The record is from RefSeq and is a predicted model, not a curated record.